Equus caballus (horse) is the source of this 3546-nucleotide long non-coding RNA. RefSeq lists it as uncharacterized. The record is from RefSeq and is a predicted model, not a curated record. NCBI's taxonomy places the organism in Eukaryota, Metazoa, Chordata, Mammalia, Perissodactyla, Equidae.
GCUCAAGAAUCUGGAUCGUUUGCUUUUCUCUUCGUUCGCUGGAGCCACCACUGGAGAGUGAUUCAGACGGGGCUGAAACUGGUAUACCCCUGAGCCCCUGUGAAGUCCCCAUUUCUGUGCAGGGUCAGUUGAAAGUGACAUUGUGAUGUAGGCAAAACUAUGCCUUGGGUGACAUUGUGAAGUUGGCAGAGGGUGCCCUAGGUGACAUUGUGAAGUAGGCAAAAGACAUUUUAUUCAUUCAAUAAGUUUUCCUUGAGCCCAUCUUGUGUGCCAGGGACCAGUGAUAUGUAGACAAUUAAGAGCGUGCCUACCACAGGCAAGAAGGGGCAAAGCCCUAUGAAUAAAUGGGUACUCGGAAGUUGCCACUGGUGCUGUAAUAGAGCUACGCUUAAGGAUGCACCAGUUUGUAUUUCCGCCACCAAAGAAGAGAGUGCCUGCUUCCACAAAGCCUGCCGACGGCAUGUGUGCCAAUCUGAUAGGACUGAAAUGGUAUCAUUGAGUUGCUGAAGUUUCAACAGGACCGGCUUGCAUCACGGUGGACCUACCGAAGCCAUUCUUAAUGGCAUCACAAUUACCAGUUUAAUCCAGUUGACAAAUAACAGGAUGAAUCUAGCUAUCUGUUUUGUCUGUGCCUCCACUCCACUAUCAGAGCUCUAAUGGAGAAAACCAACCAGCAGAAAAGUUUGGUGCCAUUAAGCAUUCAUAAGCCUCAACCUCCAACGGACCCUCAGCUCUACCUGACCAUGUUAUUGUGUUUCUUUGGUCAGUUUCUUUCUCCCUUCCACAAAGACUACUUCAAACUCUCUUCACUCUCUUUCAGAUUUCUCUUAUUAUUUCACUUCUUCUGAGCAGAUGGCCCACCUCCUACUACAAAGAGAAAGUAGAAGUCAUAAUGUGAGAACUCCCUCAUCUUCCCUCUAGCAACCUUACACAAGUACCUGGAUUUCCACCCAUCUCUUUGUUCCAGCCUGUUACGAUAGAGGAGGAAUUCUUCCUCGCAUCAUCUAAGAUCAAUGUCUCUACCGUCUCUGGUCCACCUAUCUUCUUUCCCCUUUUUACUCCUAAUUCAACCUAAUACUAUCAAGUGUUUAUUCUCUCUUCUCUGUCUUUGGCCUCUCUCUUUACUCUUUCCUUUUGCAAAACAAAUAAACCUGCUGAAAUUUAUUGUUAAAAAUGAAACAAACAAAACCAUUCAUCUUAUUUUCCCUUCUAGCAAUGGCUAUAUUUCUCUUCUCUCCUUCAUAGCUUAAUUUCUUAAGUCAUAGAAUUUUUUGAGGCUGAAUGAGACAACUUUCAUGGACACAGAAGUGUACAGUCACUGAAAAGAGGAAGAGCUGGAACAAGAGAUGGGGAGAGCUGCAGACUACCACAGUGUACCUGGGCUUUGGGGUUAGGUUUGAUCCGAGGGGCUGGGUGCCAUAGGUGACACAGAAAAUAUGUUUGCCUGCGGUGAGCUAGUCAAUAUAUGCAACAUGGCAUAAGUGUGGGUCUGAAAUCAGUUUCUUUAUUUGAAAAUUUAAAAUAACAAUAGUUACCUUGUAGCAUUGUUUUGAGGAUUAAAUAAGCUAAUGGGUAUAAAGCUACUUAUCAUGGUACGUACUCAAAAAUAUUACCUAUUAUUAUUUUUGUAACUGUAAUUAUGCUGUCAGAUGGGCAGGUUUGCACAACCAAAUAUGAAAGCAUCCAUAUUCAAUGUGGAAAUAAAUAUAAAGUGAUACAGCUGUCUUUGACCUACAAGUUUGACUAGUGCUUUGGACAUUCACUCAUUCAUAAAGAAACAUAUGUAUCAGGAACUUUGCUAGGCAUUGGGAAUUACAAAGAAGAAUAAGACAAAAUCUCUGCUGUCAGUGAGCUCACAGUCUUAAGGCAGUCAAGGCAUAAGCAUGUAAUUAUAAUACGGUGUGGUAAGUGCUGUGAUUGACAAACACAGGGCAUUUGGGGAAUUCAAAGAAGGAAGCAUAUAGCUUGGGUGAGGCACAUCAAAGAAAUCUUUCUGGUUGAGGUGAAACUGGAGCUGAUUCUUAAAGUGAGUAAAUGCUAUUAGAAGAAAGAAAGAAGGCAGGCGGGGGAAGGGUUUUAAAGUUCCUCUGUCCACACAGUUCAACUCAAAGGCACUGGGAUUCCAUACUUAUUUAAUUUAAAAAGUUGUACUGCUAAAAGCUAUUUGAAACUCAUUGACCUAUUUGAAUGAUAUGUAAGGAACAAAGUAGUAUAUGAUAAUACAAGGAUGAGGGAAAACUUUUGUUUCAUUACGAGUGGAACACAGCAGGAAUUGCUGUAGGCAGGGUGACACAACGUAUUUUAAAGAACCUGGUGGCUGGGAGCCCAGAUAGGCUACUACCCGUGGUGAAAUUGCCUAGGUGAUGUCACCAUGGCCCUCAGUUUUGAUAGUGCAGGAAGUUUAUUGUCAGCUAAUAAGAGAUAACCAAUCUCUUGAGGACUGGUUCAAUUUAAAAUAGGAGGUGAAUAUAUAAGCUACAAUGCAUUCACUUAUAAUAAGAAAUAUGAAAUUCUUGCAAACUAAAAUACUUCUGUUGUCAUGAUUGAUAAAUUUGCUCCAGAUGGGUGUGCUAAAUAUUCGUCUUGAGAUCCUGAAAUCAGAACAGAAGGAAGGAGCUAGAGUGGGAAGCUAUCUGGUUCAGACAAUGGUCUGAGCAACAUGGGCUUAAUUUCCUGCUCUGAUUCUUCAGAACCUUACUCUAUGUGAUUUCACAGAUUUAAAAAUUCCCAUUGCUGUGGUUAUUGGAAAGCUGAGAUGUAGAAACAGGGGCAGGUCUUAGACCAAUAAGCAUCUGAUGAGAACGCAUUUUGGAAUAGGAGCAAGCAGCGCAUGCUGAGGCAGCAUCAUGAGUUGAGGUCAUGUUAAGACAUCAGGGAAAAGAAAUUAGCAUGGGAACAUACAUCUGCCAAAUAAUUAGUGCAAUAUUGGCUGUGAAAGUGGGAUUAUCUCUGAACCUUUGAGAGCUAGAUAAACUAUAAUAACAGGAAUUCAGAGUAUUAUGCAUAUUAUGCAUUUAUGUAAAGUAAUUACAUGUAUAUGCAUAGGAAAAGGUAUAGAAAUGUAUAUAAAAUACUAUGAGUGGUUUUCCUAUAUAAAGAAACAUAUAUGGAAGCAUGAGUGUUCCUUAUUUUUGUUUUGGUCUAUCUGUGAUUUCAAAAUUAUCUACAAUAAAGAUGUGCUACUCAUUCAAUAAAGAAGUAUAAAGUUAGAAACAAUUAGCAUAAGGGGAAAAGGACCAAGUGUCUCUGACUUUCACUGGAACAACUACUAGUGAUACAGCUUGGAUGAUGUUAGACCUGAACAAGUUCAUAGGAAGCACAGUGAAGGAUAGCGGACAGGGAGCUGUUUGAAGGAGUCCAGGAAAGGCGAGGUGCUGCACAAAAAGAAUUUCUUUUCAGUUUGGACUAAAAACAGGAAGGGACUAUUUUUAGUAGAGGAGUUUUAGAUGCUCCUCCCAUUGGCACAGCCAGCAACAAAAAUAUUUUACUUUGUUUUUACUUUUUAUUUCUUUCUCAUUAAUUUAUUAUAUUGUGGUCAUAACAGCU